RNAcentral lists this small RNA (269 nucleotides) under Oryza sativa Japonica Group (Japanese rice). RNAcentral's name for it is "sRNA Os12g0248800". Lineage: Eukaryota; Viridiplantae; Streptophyta; Magnoliopsida; Poales; Poaceae. The record is from RNAcentral.
GCUUCCCCCCGCCACCGCCUGUCCCCCGCCCUCGCCGCCUCCACCGCCCUCUCCGACUCAGCCGCUGGUUCCGCCGCCUCUGCCGAUUCCGCCUCCUCCGAUUGCGACGAGGAGAUGAUUAGCCUGUUGCGCCGGUGGCGGAGCGGCUAUGGUGUAUGGCGAACUGCAUGGCGUUGACGAGGUUCUCGGUGCGAGUACGAGCCGGGGCGGUAGCUGAUGCACGUCAGAGACGGGGAAGCUUCCUGCCCUGCGUCAUCCCGAUAUGUAAG